GCGCACGCUGGCGGCAGGCCUAACCCCUGCCAGUCGCACGAACCUUUCGGGGUUAGUGGCGGACGGGUGAGUAACACGUGGGAACGUGCCUUUAGGUUCGGAAUAACUCAGGGCAACUUGUGCUAAUACCGAAUGUGCCCUUCGGGGGAAAGAUUUAUCGCCUUUAGAGCGGCCCGCGUCUGAUUAGCUAGUUGGUUGAGGUAAUGGCUCACCAAGGCGACGAUCAGUAGCUGGUCUGAGAGGAUGAUCAGCCACAUUGGGACUGAGACACGGCCCAAACUCCUACGGGAAGCAGCAGUGGGGAAUCUUGCGAAAUGGGCGAAAGCCUGACGCAGCCAUGCCGCGUGAAUGAUGAAGGUCUUAGGAUUGUAAAAUUCUUUCACCGGGGACGAUAAUGACGGUACCCGGAGAAGAAGCCCCGGCUAACUUCGUG
RNAcentral lists this ribosomal RNA (433 nucleotides) under uncultured bacterium. Its description in RNAcentral is "partial 16S ribosomal RNA". It matches the Rfam family "Bacterial small subunit ribosomal RNA", at positions 29 to 507 of the family's 1533-position model. The record is from RNAcentral.